CCCUCCUAAAAGGGUGUGUCUGUAGUUCCCUGUCUUUAGACACGUAAGAAUUGGCGGCAAAGAAAUGUGAACUUGGAGAAUUCUCCGUCUGGGGCCAGCUUGCUCCCUGUAGACUCAAGAUGAACCAACCAACAGAG
Ailuropoda melanoleuca (giant panda) is the source of this 137-nucleotide small nucleolar RNA. Lineage: Eukaryota; Metazoa; Chordata; Mammalia; Carnivora; Ursidae. The record is from Ensembl.